AUUAAACGCUGGCGGCAUGCCUUACACAUGCAAGUCGAACGGCAGCACGGGGGCAACCCUGGUGGCGAGUGGCGAACGGGUGAGUAAAGCAUCGGAACGUGCCCUGGAGUGGGGGAUAACGUAGCGAAAGUUACGCUAAUACCGCAUAUUCUGUGAGCAGGAAAGCAGGGGAUCGCAAGACCUUGCGCUCUGGGAGCGGCCGAUGUCGGAUUAGCUAGUUGGUGGGGUAAAGGCCUACCAAGGCGACGAUCCGUAGCGGGUCUGAGAGGAUGAUCCGCCGCACUGGGACUGAGACACGGCCCAGACUCCUACGGGAGGCAGCAGUGGGGAAUUUUGGACAAUGGGCGAAAGCCUGAUCCAGCCAUGCCGCGUGAGUGAAGAAGGCCU
RNAcentral lists this ribosomal RNA (387 nucleotides) under uncultured bacterium. Its description in RNAcentral is "bacterial SSU rRNA". It matches the Rfam family "Bacterial small subunit ribosomal RNA", at positions 29 to 417 of the family's 1533-position model. The record is from RNAcentral.